UAUUGAGUUGGCCAAAAGUUCCUUUGGGUUUUUCCAUAAAAUGCUAUGGAAAUACUCAAAUGAACUUUUUGGCCAAACCAAU
This 82-nucleotide microRNA precursor is filed under the name Ovis aries (sheep). Its description in RNAcentral is "miRNA (ENSOARG00000022600.1)". The record is from RNAcentral. Lineage: Eukaryota; Metazoa; Chordata; Mammalia; Artiodactyla; Bovidae.